This 285-nucleotide unclassified non-coding RNA is filed under the name plant metagenome. Its description in RNAcentral is "partial contains small subunit ribosomal RNA, internal transcribed spacer 1, and 5.8S ribosomal RNA". The stretch from base 1 to 54 matches the Rfam family "Eukaryotic small subunit ribosomal RNA", at positions 1778 to 1831 of the family's 1831-position model. The record is from RNAcentral.
GGAAGUAAAAGUUGUAACAAGGUUUCCGUAGGUGAACCUGCGGAAGGAUCAUUAUUGUAUAACCGAGGUGCGAGGGCUGUCGCUGACCCAAAAGGUCGUGCACGCCCGAGUGCCCUCACACACAUCCAUCUCACCCCUAUGUGCACCACCGCGUGGGUCCCCCUUUGGCUUGUUCGGAGGGGGGCUUACGUUUUCACACAAACUUUGUAUGCAGUGUAGAAUGUAUUUUUUGUUUUUGCGAUCACGCAAUCAAUACAACUUUCAACAACGGAUCUCUUGGCUCUC